RNAcentral lists this ribosomal RNA (1168 nucleotides) under uncultured Bacteroides sp. RNAcentral describes it as "bacterial SSU rRNA". It matches the Rfam family "Bacterial small subunit ribosomal RNA", at positions 10 to 1177 of the family's 1533-position model. The record is from RNAcentral. Lineage: Bacteria; Pseudomonadati; Bacteroidota; Bacteroidia; Bacteroidales; Bacteroidaceae.
AGUUUGAUCCUGGCUCAGGAUGAACGCUAGCUACAGGCUUAACACAUGCAAGUCGAGGGGCAGCAUUGGAGUAGCAAUACUUCAGAUGGCGACCGGCGCACGGGUGAGUAACACGUAUCCAACCUGCCGCUUACUCGGGGAUAGCCUUUCGAAAGAAAGAUUAAUACCCGAUGGUAUAAAGAGUUCGCAUGUUCUCUUUAUUAAAGAAUUUCGGUAAGCGAUGGGGAUGCGUUCCAUUAGAUAGUUGGCGGGGUAACGGCCCACCAAGUCUACGAUGGAUAGGGGUUCUGAGAGGAAGGUCCCCCACAUUGGAACUGAGACACGGUCCAAAUCCUACGGGAGGCAGCAGUGAGGAAUAUUGGUCAAUGGACGAGAGUCUGAACCAGCCAAGUAGCGUGAAGGAUGACUGCCCUAUGGGUUGUAAACUUCUUUUAUAAGGGAAUAAAGUGAGGGACGUGUCCCUUUUUGUAUGUACCUUAUGAAUAAGGAUCGGCUAACUCCGUGCCAGCAGCCGCGGUAAUACGGAGGAUCCAAGCGUUAUCCGGAUUUAUUGGGUUUAAAGGGAGCGUAGGUUGACAUAUAAGUCAGCUGUGAAAGUUUACGGCUCAACCGUGAAAUUGCAGUUGAUACUGUAUGUCUUGAGUGUACAAGAGGUGGGCGGAAUUCGUGGUGUAGCGGUGAAAUGCUUAGAUAUCACGAAGAACUCCAAUUGCGAAGGCAGCUCACUGGGGUACAACUGACACUGAGGCUCGAAAGUGUGGGUAUCAAACAGGAUUAGAUACCCUGGUAGUCCACACAGUAAACGAUGAAUACUCGCUGUUUGCGAUAUACAGUAAGCGGCCAAGCGAAAGCAUUAAGUAUUCCACCUGGGGAGUACGCCGGCAACGGUGAAACUCAAAGGAAUUGACGGGGGCCCGCACAAGCGGAGGAACAUGUGGUUUAAUUCGAUGAUACGCGAGGAACCUUACCCGGGCUUGAAUUGCAGAGGAAUAUAGUUGAAAGAUUAUGGCCGCAAGGUCUCUGUGAAGGUGCUGCAUGGUUGUCGUCAGCUCGUGCCGUGAGGUGUCGGCUUAAGUGCCAUAACGAGCGCAACCCUUAUCAUUAGUUACUAACAGGUCAUGCUGAGGACUCUAGUGAGACUGCCGUCGUAAGAUGUGAGGAAGGNGGA